UAGGAAGGCAGCAGUGGGGAAUAUUGCACAAUGGGCGAAAGCCUGAUGCAGCUAUGCCGCGUGUAUGAAGAAGGCCUUAGGGUUGUAAAGUACUUUCAUCGGGGAGGAAAAACAAAACUAAUAAUUUUAUUUCUUGACGUUACCCGAAAAAGAAGCACCGGCUAACUCCGUGCCAGCAGCCGCGGUAAUACGGAGGGUGCUAGCGUUAAUCAGAAUUACUGGGCGUAAAGAGCACGUAGGUGGUUUUUUUAAGUCAGAUGUGAAAUCCCUGGGCUUAACCUAGGAACUGCAUUUUGAAACUGAAAUACUAGAGUAUCGUAGAGGGAGGUAGAAUUCUAGGUGUAGCGGUGAAAUGCGUAGAUAUCUGGAGGAAUACCUGUGGCGAAAGCGGCCUCCUAAACGAAUACUGACACUGAGGUGCGAAAGCGUGGGGAGCAAACAGGGAUUAGAUACC
RNAcentral lists this ribosomal RNA (454 nucleotides) under uncultured bacterium. RNAcentral's name for it is "bacterial SSU rRNA". It matches the Rfam family "Bacterial small subunit ribosomal RNA", at positions 341 to 786 of the family's 1533-position model. The record is from RNAcentral.